Molecule: ribosomal RNA, 404 nt
Filed under: uncultured Sphingobacterium sp.
Lineage: Bacteria; Pseudomonadati; Bacteroidota; Sphingobacteriia; Sphingobacteriales; Sphingobacteriaceae
Description: bacterial SSU rRNA
Rfam family: Bacterial small subunit ribosomal RNA
Source: RNAcentral
GAGUUUGAUCUUGGCUCAGGAUGAACGCUAGCUGGAGGCUUAAUACAUGCAAGUCGAGCGGGAUUGGUAGCAAUACCAUGAGAGCGGCGCACGGGUGAGUAACGCGUACACGACCUACCUCUGACAGGGGGAUAGCCCUGGGAAACUGGGAUUAAUACCGCAUAUUAUCCUGAUUAAUAAAGGAUUGGAAUGAAAGUUCAGGCGGUCAGAGAUGGGUGUGCGUCUGAUUAGCUAGUUGGUGGGGUAACGCCUACCAAGGCGAUGAUCAGUAGGGGGCGUGAGAGCGUGGUCCCCCACACGGGUACUGAGACACGGACCCGACUCCUACGGGAGGCAGCAGUAAGGAAUAUUGGUCAAUGGGACAAGCCUAGAACCAGCCAUCCAGCGUGCAGGAAGAAGGCCCU